UUUUUUUUUUUUUUUUUUUUUUUUCAGUUGAAACUGUCAAAACUUGGAGAAGGGGAACCGCGGAGGCAGGCAGGAGAGGAGAGUCCUGAAACCCGGUGGAGGUUGGGAAGAUGCUGUGCCUCGAGGAUUAGUUUAAACAGGGGGCUAUAAAAGAUGUAACAGAUGCAAACUGUAACGCAGGGCCAUUAACCCCUUCCCUGCCGCCGAGCACGCUCGGCCCCCACGCCCCGCACCUAUUGUCUCGGGUGCUAGAAGCUGCGGAAAACCUGGAAAAUUGUUGGGGAAAAAUCUUGAAAUAAAGAAAUGGUCACACAAGUGUCUGGGAUGAAACAGCUGGCCUGUCUGUAUUCAGGCUGAGACUUGCACACGACUGCAUAUAAAUAUAUGUUUAAUAAACCGCCCCUUCUCACGCCAGGCUCACAUCCCCACGCGAAAUGAGAAAAUUAGAAAAGGAGGACGGGGGCCGAGCACACCAAAACAGGGUAAAAAGAGAAAAAAAGGGGGAAAAAACCUACCUGCGAAGUCUUGUUUGUAGUUUUGGCCAGAAAUGGUGAGAAGAAAAAGCAUGAAGAAGCCGCGAAGUGUGGGGGAGAAAAAGGUGGAAGCGAAGAAACAGCUCCGGGAGCAAACUGUGCAAAACCUCACCAAGAGUGUCGGGAGGCAGGACCGUUAUUCCUGCGGAGCAGGAGAGACCCUGAAACACGCGCCACCUAUCUUUGUGGGGAGGGAUAAUUGAAGCGCCCUGAGCGUGAGCAUCAUGUGAAAACGUGAUCGCCAAG
Long non-coding RNA from Chinchilla lanigera (long-tailed chinchilla), 779 nucleotides. RefSeq lists it as uncharacterized. Lineage: Eukaryota; Metazoa; Chordata; Mammalia; Rodentia; Chinchillidae. The transcript is spliced from 4 exons. The record is from RefSeq and is a predicted model, not a curated record.